Molecule: ribosomal RNA, 1470 nt
Filed under: metagenome
Description: bacterial SSU rRNA
Rfam family: Bacterial small subunit ribosomal RNA
Source: RNAcentral
AGAGUUUGAUCCUGGCUCAGGACGAACGCUGGCGGCACGCUUAACACAUGCAAGUCGAACGAGAGAAGAGGAGCUUGCUUUUCUGAUCUAGUGGCGGACGGGUGAGUAACACGUGAGCAAUCUGCCUUUCAGAGGGGGAUACCGAUUGGAAACGAUCGUUAAUACCGCAUAACAUAAUUGAACCGCAUGAUUUGAUUAUCAAAGAUUUAUCGCUGAAAGAUGAGCUCGCGUCUGAUUAGCUAGUUGGUAAGGUAACGGCUUACCAAGGCGACGAUCAGUAGCCAGACUGAGAGGUUGAUCGGCCACAUUGGGACUGAGACACGGCCCAGACUCCUACGGGAGGCAGCAGUGGGGAAUAUUGCACAAUGGAGGAAACUCUGAUGCAGCGAUGCCGCGUGAGGGAAGAAGGUUUUAGGAUUGUAAACCUCUGUCUUCAGGGACGAAAAAAGACGGUACCUGAGGAGGAAGCUCCGGCUAACUACGUGCCAGCAGCCGCGGUAAUACGUAGGGAGCGAGCGUUGUCCGGAAUUACUGGGUGUAAAGGGAGCGUAGGCGGGAUCGCAAGUCAGAUGUGAAAACUAUGGGCUUAACCCAUAAACUGCAUUUGAAACUGUGGUUCUUGAGUGAAGUAGAGGUAAGCGGAAUUCCUAGUGUAGCGGUGAAAUGCGUAGAUAUUAGGAGGAACAUCAGUGGCGAAGGCGGCUUACUGGGCUUUAACUGACGCUGAGGCUCGAAAGCGUGGGGAGCAAACAGGAUUAGAUACCCUGGUAGUCCACGCCGUAAACGAUGAUUACUAGGUGUGGGGGGACUGACCCCUUCCGUGCUGCAGCAAACGCAAUAAGUAAUCCACCUGGGGAGUACGACCGCAAGGUUGAAACUCAAAGGAAUUGACGGGGGCCCGCACAAGCAGUGGAGUAUGUGGAUUAAUUCGAAGCAACGCGAAGAACCUUACCAGGUCUUGACAUCGUAUGCAUAGCUCAGAGAUGAGUGAAAUCUCUUCGGAGACAUAUAGACAGGUGGUGCAUGGUUGUCGUCAGCUCGUGUCGUGAGAUGUUGGGUUAAGUCCCGCAACGAGCGCAACCCUUACUGUUAGUUGCUACGCAAGAGCACUCUAGCAGGACUGCCGUUGACAAAACGGAGGAAGGUGGGGAUGACGUCAAAUCAUCAUGCCCCUUAUGACCUGGGCCUCACACGUACUACAAUGGCUGUCAACAGAGGGAAGCAAAGCCGCGAGGUGGAGCGAACCCCUAAAAGCAGUCUUAGUUCGGAUUGUAGGCUGCAACCCGCCUACAUGAAGUCGGAAUUGCUAGUAAUCGCAGAUCAGCAUGCUGCGGUGAAUACGUUCCCGGGCCUUGUACACACCGCCCGUCACGCCAUGGGAGUCGGUAACACCCGAAGCCUGUAGUCUAACCGCAAGGAGGACGCAGUCGAAGGUGGGAUUGAUGACUGGGGUGAAGUCGUAACAAGGUA